RNAcentral lists this long non-coding RNA (402 nucleotides) under Coffea arabica (coffee). RNAcentral's name for it is "long non-coding RNA (CARA_LNC003812)". The record is from RNAcentral. Lineage: Eukaryota; Viridiplantae; Streptophyta; Magnoliopsida; Gentianales; Rubiaceae.
AGGGGGAAAGUCACGGCUGCAACAGCUUUUAGCUACUUGUGGCAAUCCAAAAAUACUCCACCCUUUGCUACUUAAACAAUGGUAGCUAAACACACAUGGGAUACUAUCUAACAACAAACAAACACCCAAGAGACAAUUUAAUCUACUCCAGAAAAAAUUCAGCAGACCAAAGAGGUUGUCUUUUUUAAAAACCGCCGCAACAAAACAAAACAAAGUCAAGGCCUGUUGCGGCAGACCCUUGUUAAUCUUCCUAAACCCAAAUCGUAAAGAAAAGACACUAGGAAUGAAUUUGCAACUCACGGAUCAUGGGCAUGCUGCUUACGGAGGAAAGAAAAACAUGAAAGUUAACAGCUUUCUGGAGUCAUAGGUUUUCCAUCACACAUAUUCAGAAUACACAUAAUA